GUGGGGAAUCUUAGACAAUGGGGGCAACCCUGAUCUAGCCAUGCCGCGUGAUCGAUGAAGGCCUUAGGGUUGUAAAGAUCUUUCGCUGGGGAAGAUAAUGACGGUACCCAGUAAAGAAGCCCCGGCUAACUCCGUGCCAGCAGCCGCGGUAAUACGGAGGGGGCUAGCGUUGUUCGGAAUUACUGGGCGUAAAGCGCGCGUAGGCGGAUUGGAAAGUUGGGGGUGAAAUCCCGGGGCUCAACCCCGGAACUGCCUCCAAAACUAUCAGUCUGGAGUUCGAGAGAGGUGAGUGGAAUUGCGAGUGUAGAGGUGAAAUUCGUAGAUAUUCGCAGGAACACCAGUGGCGAAGGCGGCUCACUGGCUCGAUACUGACGCUGAGGUGCGAAAGUGUGGGGAGCAAACAGGAUUAGAUACCCCUGUAGUCC
Molecule: ribosomal RNA, 425 nt
Filed under: uncultured bacterium
Lineage: Bacteria
Description: partial 16S ribosomal RNA
Rfam family: Bacterial small subunit ribosomal RNA
Source: RNAcentral